CUCCGAGUGCUUGCAUUUAAAGUAACAACGUUUGUGAUCAUAUUUAUGAAAAAUAGCUUCUGCACUUUGCCGCAUGUUCUAGAACCCGACAUCAACAACCAAAUCAUUUUUGUUGUUGUAAUAUGAAUUCUUCUUGAGUUCGGUCAGUCUAGACAGGUCAUAUUCAAAGUUGGCAAGCGAGGCUGCAGCAUCUAAUGGAAUCACUGGAACCAACCUGUUAGUUAGUUUAGUUGAA
This 235-nucleotide long non-coding RNA is filed under the name Salvia miltiorrhiza (redroot sage). Its description in RNAcentral is "long non-coding RNA (SMIL_LNC010152)". The record is from RNAcentral. Lineage: Eukaryota; Viridiplantae; Streptophyta; Magnoliopsida; Lamiales; Lamiaceae.